GUGGGGAAUAUUGCACAAUGGGCGAAAGCCUGAUGCAGCAACGCCGCGUGAGUGAUGAAGGUCUUCGGUUUGUAAAGCUCUGUCUUCUGGGACGACAAUGACGGUACCAGAGGAGGAAGCCACGGCUAACUACGUGCCAGCAGCCGCGGUAAUACGUAGGUGGCAAGCGUUGUCCGGAUUUACUGGGCGUAAAGGGUGCGCAGGCGGAUAUUUAAGUGGGAUGUGAAAUCCCCGGGCUUAACCUGGGGGCUGCAUUCCAAACUGGAUAUCUAGAGUGCAGGAGAGGAGAAUGGAAUUCCUAGUGUAGCGGUGAAAUGCGUAGAGAUUAGGAAGAACACCAGUGGCGAAGGCGAUUCUCUGGACUGUAACUGACGCUGAGGCACGAAAGCGUGGGUAGCAAACAGGAUUAGAUACCCGAGUAGUCC
Molecule: ribosomal RNA, 425 nt
Filed under: uncultured bacterium
Lineage: Bacteria
Description: partial 16S ribosomal RNA
Rfam family: Bacterial small subunit ribosomal RNA
Source: RNAcentral